Molecule: ribosomal RNA, 844 nt
Filed under: Mycena khonkhem
Lineage: Eukaryota; Fungi; Basidiomycota; Agaricomycetes; Agaricales; Mycenaceae
Description: LSU rRNA
Rfam family: Eukaryotic large subunit ribosomal RNA
Source: RNAcentral
UACCCGCUGAACUUAAGCAUAUCAAUAAGCGGAGGAAAAGAAACUAACAAGGAUUCCCCUAUAACUGCGAGUGAAGCGGGAAAAGCUCAAAUUUAAAAUCUGGCAGUUCUGCUGUCCGAGUUGUAAUUUAGAGAAGUGUUACCUGCGCUGGACCGUACACAAGUUCCCUGGAAUGGGACGUCAAAGAGGGUGAGAAUCCCGUAUUUGGUACGGACUCCCAGUGCAUUAUGGUGCGCUCUCGAAGAGUCGAGUUGUUUGGGAAUGCAGCUCAAAAUGGGUGGUAAAUUCCAUCUAAAGCUAAAUAUUGGGGAGAGACCGAUAGCGAACAAGUACCGUGAGGGAAAGAUGAAAAGAACUUUGGAAAGAGAGUUAAACAGUACGUGAAAUUGCUGAAAGGGAAACGCUUGAAGUCAGUCGCGUUUUGCGGGAUUCAGCCUUGCUUUUGCUUGGUGUACUUCCUGUACAACGGGUCAACAUCAGUUUUAACCGGUGGAUAAGGAUGUAGGGAAUGUGGCAUCUUCGGAUGUGUUAUAGCCCUGCGUCGUAUACAUUGGUCGGGACUGAGGAACUCAGCACGCCGCAAGGCCGGGUUUUUAACCACGUUCGUGCUUAGGAUGUUGGCAUAAUGGCUUUAAUCGACCCGUCUUGAAACACGGACCAAGGAGUCUAACAUGCUUGCGAGUGUUUGGGUGUUAAACCCGAGCGCGUAAUGAAAGUGAAAGUUGAGAUCCCUGUCGUGGGGAGCAUCGACGCCCGGAGCAGACCUUUUGUGACGCAUCCGCGGUAGAGCACGUAUGUUGGGACCCGAAAGAUGGUGAACUAUGCCUGAAUAGGGUGAAGCCAG